Molecule: ribosomal RNA, 520 nt
Filed under: uncultured Glomus
Lineage: Eukaryota; Fungi; Glomeromycota; Glomeromycetes; Glomerales; Glomeraceae
Description: SSU rRNA
Rfam family: Eukaryotic small subunit ribosomal RNA
Source: RNAcentral
AGCAGCCGCGGUAAUUCCAGCUCCAAUAGCGUAUAUUAAAGUUGUUGCAGUUAAAAAGCUCGUAGUUGAAUUUCGGGAUCGACGGGUCGGUCGCGCCUCUGGUGUGUACUGGCCCUGUCGGUUUCUCCCUUCUGACGAACCACGAUGUCAUUAAUUUGGUGUCGUGGGAAAUCAGGACUGUUACUUUGAAAAAAUUAGAGUGUUUAAAGCAGGCAUUCGCUUGAAUACAUUAGCAUGGAAUAAUGAAAUAGGACGUUUGAUCUUAUUUUGUUGGUUUCUAAGAUCGACGUAAUGAUUAAUAGGGAUAGUUGGGGGCAUUAGUAUUCAAUUGUCGGAGGUGAAAUUCUUGGAUUUAUUGAAGACUAACUACUGCGAAAGCAUUUGCCAAGGAUGUUUUCAUUAAUCAAGAACGAAAGUUAGGGGAUCGAAGACGAUCAGAUACCGUCGUAGUCUUAACCAUAAACUAUGCCGACUAGGGAUCGGAUGAUGUUAAUUUUUAAUGACUCAUUCGGCGCCUUAC